Molecule: ribosomal RNA, 497 nt
Filed under: uncultured bacterium
Lineage: Bacteria
Description: partial 16S ribosomal RNA
Rfam family: Bacterial small subunit ribosomal RNA
Source: RNAcentral
GAUGAACGCUGGCGGCGUGCCUAAUACAUGCAAGUCGAGCGAACAGAUAAGGAGCUUGCUCCUUUGACGUUAGCGGCGGACGGGUGAGUAACACGUGGGUAACCUACCUAUAAGACUGGAAUAACUCCGGGAAACCGGGGCUAAUGCCGGAUAACAUUUAGAACCGCAUGGUUCUAAAGUGAAAGAUGGUUUUGCUAUCACUUAUAGAUGGACCCGCGCCGUAUUAGCUAGUUGGUAAGGUAACGGCUUACCAAGGCAACGAUACGUAGCCGACCUGAGAGGGUGAUCGGCCGCACUGGAACUGAGACACGGUCCAGACUCCUACGGGAGGCAGCAGUAGGGAAUCUUCCGCAAUGGGCGAAAGCCUGACGGAGCAACGCCGCGUGAGUGAUGAAGGUCUUCGGAUCGUAAAACUCUGUUAUUAGGGAAGAACAAAUGUGUAAGUAACUGUGCACGUCUUGACGGUACCUAAUCAGAAAGCCACGGCUAACUACGUG